UACGGAGGGAGCUAGCGUUGUUCGGAAUUACUGGGCGUAAAGCGCGCGCAGGCGGUCUUCCAAGUCAGUGGUGAAAGCCCGGAGCUCAACUCCGGAACUGCCAUUGAAACUGUAAGACUUGAGGAUGAGAGAGGUGAGUGGAAUUCCGAGUGUAGAGGUGAAAUUCGUAGAUAUUCGGAAGAACACCAGUGGCGAAGGCGGCUCACUGGACUGGUAUUGACGCUGAGGUGCGAAAGCGUGGGGAGCAAACAGG
Molecule: ribosomal RNA, 253 nt
Filed under: uncultured bacterium
Lineage: Bacteria
Description: partial 16S ribosomal RNA
Rfam family: Bacterial small subunit ribosomal RNA
Source: RNAcentral